RNAcentral lists this ribosomal RNA (253 nucleotides) under uncultured bacterium. RNAcentral describes it as "partial 16S ribosomal RNA". It matches the Rfam family "Bacterial small subunit ribosomal RNA", at positions 524 to 776 of the family's 1533-position model. The record is from RNAcentral.
UACGUAGGGUGCAAGCGUUGUCCGGAUUUAUUGGGCGUAAAGAGCUCGUAGGCGGUCUGUCGCGUCGGAUGUGAAAACCCAGGGCUCAACCCUGGGCCUGCAUUCGAUACGAGCAAACUAGAGUGUUGCAGGGGAGACUGGAAUUCCUGGUGUAGCGGUGAAAUGCGCAGAUAUCAGGAGGAACACCGGUGGCGAAGGCGGGUCUCUGGGCAACAACUGACGCUGAGGAGCGAAAGCGUGGGGAGCGAACAGG